Molecule: unclassified non-coding RNA, 212 nt
Filed under: fungal sp.
Lineage: Eukaryota; Fungi
Description: partial internal transcribed spacer region
Rfam family: Eukaryotic small subunit ribosomal RNA (bases 1-46)
Source: RNAcentral
AAGUCGUAACAAGGUAACCGUAGGUGAACCUGCGGUUGGAUCAUUAACAAUGGUUUUCAAACCUUUAUUCUGUGCACUGUAUUGUUUUUGGUGUUUUCCGCCUCUUUCUUCGGAGAGGAGCGGAGGCACCGACAUUUUUAAACCAUGUAUUGUAUCGAGUCUUGAAUUUGUAUUAAAAUGAAAAACUUUUGACAACGGAUCUCUUGGCUCUC